GAUUAACGCUGGCGGCAUGCCUAAUACAUGCAAGUCGAACGGAAGCAGCAAUGCUUUAGUGGCGAACGGGUGAGUAACACGUAGGGAACCUACCUAUACGACGAGGAUAACUACUGGAAACGGUAGCUAAAACUGGAUAGGAUCAAUUGAGGCAUCUUGAUUGAUUUAAAGAUCCUUCGGGAUUACGUAGAGAUGGCCCUGCGGCGCAUUAGCUAGUUGGUGAGGUAACGGCUCACCAAGGCGACGAUCUGUAGCGGGUCUGAGAGGGUAAUCGGCCACAUUGGAACUGAGACACGGUCCAAACUCCUACGGGAGGCAGCAGUGGGGAAUAUUGCACAAUGGGCGAAAGCCUGAUGCAGCAACGCCGCGUGAGCGAUGAAGGCCUUUGGGUCGUAAAGCUCUGUCCUUGGGGAAGAAACAAAUGACGGUACCCUUGGAGGAAGCCCCGGCUAACUACGUG
Molecule: ribosomal RNA, 460 nt
Filed under: uncultured bacterium
Lineage: Bacteria
Description: bacterial SSU rRNA
Rfam family: Bacterial small subunit ribosomal RNA
Source: RNAcentral